UACGGAGGAUCCAAGCGUUAUCCGGAAUCAUUGGGCUUAAAGGGUGCGUAGGCGGGUUAAUAAGUCAGGGGUGAAAGUCUGCAGCUCAACUGUAGAAUUGCCUUGGAUACUGUUAGACUUGAGUAAUUAUGAAGUGGUUAGAAUAUGUAGUGUAGCGGUGAAAUGCAUAGAUAUUACAUAGAAUACCGAUUGCGAAGGCAGAUCACUAAUAAUUCACUGACGCUGAGGGGCGAAAGCGUAGGUAGCGAACAGG
Molecule: unclassified non-coding RNA, 253 nt
Filed under: uncultured Flavobacteriaceae bacterium
Lineage: Bacteria; Pseudomonadati; Bacteroidota; Flavobacteriia; Flavobacteriales; Flavobacteriaceae
Description: contains 16S-23S intergenic spacer region
Rfam family: Bacterial small subunit ribosomal RNA
Source: RNAcentral